GGACAACAAGUCUACAAGGGAGUUUUAUUCUCUUUGGACAUGCUCUAGCUUGAACGUGGAGAAAAUCGCCUUUAGAAGCAUAACACACCUGAGGUACGAGACUAACUGCGGAUCACUCUUCACUAGCAAACUUCGACACCCAACUCCUUGGCGAGCAACAUCCCAACUAUCAAGGCUUCGUAUUCAGCUUGGUUGUUGUUGGCUUUGAAGGCGAAUCUCAGGGCUUGCUCGAUUAACAACCCGUUCGGCCCUUCUAGAAUGACCCCAACUCCAAUCCUUUGUUGGUUAGAGGAUUCGUCCACUAAAAAGGACUCACUGAAAGUCAUUAGAAUCUGGUUGGGGACCCUCGGAUGACAACUCUACCAUAAAAUCAGCAUACACCUAGCUCUUGAUAGGCCCCCGGGGUUCAUACUGCACAUUGAACUCAGAAAAAUCAAUUGCCCAACAAACCAUAUGACCUGCUAUGUGGGGCUUCU
RNAcentral lists this long non-coding RNA (476 nucleotides) under Phaseolus vulgaris (common bean). Its description in RNAcentral is "long non-coding RNA (PVUL_LNC001204)". The record is from RNAcentral. Lineage: Eukaryota; Viridiplantae; Streptophyta; Magnoliopsida; Fabales; Fabaceae.